Lonchura striata (white-rumped munia) is the source of this 1680-nucleotide long non-coding RNA. The record is from Ensembl. NCBI's taxonomy places the organism in Eukaryota, Metazoa, Chordata, Aves, Passeriformes, Estrildidae.
GGACAGGGACAGGGGCUGGCACGGCACGGGGGCAGCACGGGGACAGGGGCACUGCUGAGGGUGGGGUCCCGGGCGGGGGGACAGGGGACAUGGCACAGGAAAGGAAUGGGGACAGGGGACAUGGCACGGGGACAGUGGCACAGUAAGGGUGUGGGGACAGGGGACACGGCACAGGAAAGGAAUAGGGACAGGGGACAGUGGCACAGUAAAGGUGUGGGGACAGGGGACAGUGGCACAGGGACAGUGGCACCGGAAAGAUGUGGGGACAUGGGGACAUGGCACAGGGACAGUGGCACAGUAAGGGUGUGGGGACAGGGGACAUGGCACAGGAAAGGUUGGGGACAGGGGACAUGGCACGGGGACAGUGGCACAGUAAGGGUGCGGGGACAGGGGACAGUGGCACAGGAAAGGAAUGGGGACAGGGGACAUGGCACGGGGACAGUGGCACAGUAAGGGUGUGGGGACAGGGGACAUGGCACGGGGACAGUGGCACAGGAAAGGUUGGGGACAGGGGACAUGGCACAGGAAAGGUUGGGGACAGGGGACAUGGCACGGGGACAGUGGCAUGGAACAAGGCGAGGACAGGGGACACUGCCACCACCACAUGGGGACAGGGGAAUGGGGACACAGGGCAUGGCAGGGGGACAGGGACACUGGAGCUGGCACGGCAUGGGGACACAGGGUGACAGCACAGGGCAGGGACACCGGCUGCUGGCACGGGACAGAACCUCGGGGCGCUGGCAGGGCAGGGGCACGUGGCAGAGGGACGGGGACAGGGGACACGGGACAUGGCAGAGGGACAGGACAGGGGACACGGGACAUGGCAGAGGGAUGGGGACAGGGACACGGGACAUGGCAGAGGGACAGGACAGGGACACAGGACAUGGCAGAGGGAUGGGGACAGGGACACGGGACAUGGCAGAGGGACAGGACAGGGACACAGGACAUGGCAGAGGGACAGGACAGGAUGAUGGCAGGGCGUGGGGACAGGAAACGGCAGAGGGAUGGGACAAGGGACACGGCAGGCGGAUGGGACAGGGUGGUGGCAGGGCGGGGACACAGGGGACACGGAGGAGGGACAGGACAAAGGAGCUGGCACUGGGAUGGGGACAGGGAUGGGACAGGGGACACGAUACAGGGAUGGGGACAGAGGACAGGGCACUGGGAUGGGGACAGGGGACAGGGAUGGGACAGGGGACACGAUACAGGGAUGGGGACAAGGGACAGGGAUGGGACAGGGGACACGAUACAGGGAUGGGGACAAGGGACAGGGCACUGGGAUGGGGCAGGGGACACAGCACAGGGAUGGGGACAGGGGACAGGGCACUGGGAUGGGGACAAGGGACAGGGAUGGGACAGGGGACACGAUACAGGGAUGGGGACAAGGGACAGGGCACUGGGAUAGGGACAGAGCAGGGACAUGAGCAGAGGACGUGGCAGAGAGGUUGGGGACAGGAACACAGCAUGGGGCAGUGGCACAGGACUGGGGAUGUCACACCUGGCACAUGUCCCCCCACAGCCCAAUUUUGGGGACACUGUCCCCCCACAGCCCAAUUUUGGGGACACUGUGCCCUCACAGCCCAAUUUUGGGGACACUGUCCCCUCUCAGCCCAAUUUUGGGGACACUGUCCCCCCACAGCCCAAUUUUGGGGACACUGUCCCCCCACAACCCAAUUUUGG